AGUCCAGAUUCUCUAACAAUCAGAGUAUCAAACACGCUUUAUUGACUCGUUCUCUCCCGCAGCUCGUCUCUCUUCUCGAUCUCUCCGCUCUCUCUUUCCGCUCGUCUCUCUCUUCAUCUCUUUAGAUAAAAAUGAAGUCGAUUUCACUCGUUCUCGUAAAAUUGGAGCAAAGCCCUCACAAAUCACCAGGAUUUUGAAUUAAAUGUGGGGUUUAUUCAAUUGAUUUGUGCUUGAAUCAAAAUUGGGGGUUUUCAUGCCUUUGAUUUGGGGGGUUUUUGGUUAUAUUGUUUCUUUUCUUAGAUCCCUCAACUCUAUCUCUAAUUUGUUUUAUAUCUUUGUUCUGUUUUAGGCUGGCUUUGGGUUCCUUAGGGAUUGACUGAUUUAAAUCUUUGAUGUGCGCUUCUUCAGCUUAAGGUUAGGUUGUGGAUGUUGGACUUGCAGUUAGAAAAUUCAAGAAAGGCGAAGAAGUUGUAGCCAUGCUUGGAACAACGACUAGAGGUGGAUUAGUUGAGUAUGCAGUAGCAAAGCAAGAAGUGAUGGUUCUAAGGCCACUUGAACUAUCAGCUGGUGAAUGUGCCGCAUUAGGCACUCGAGGGUUAACCGCUUACCAAUGCCUCAUCACAGCGGGAGUAGUCCUUUGAAAAGACACCCACCUAUGAACAUACUAACUGCUGCAGCUUGAGGUGGUGUUGGUCACUAUGCAGUUCAGGUCGCAAAGCUAGGGAACAUUCAUGUCACUAUAACAUGUGGCUCUUGCAACAUUGAUUUUGUGAAGAAGACCUAAAGGAUGAGUUGGAUUUGUUAGGUAGUUUAGUUUGGUUGGAUUUGUUUUGAACUUUGGUUUGUAUGAAUGAUUAGUUAAUUUUGCUGUUGAUAUAGUAAACUUUUGAAUAGUUGUUUAAUGUUGCAGUACCACACAUAUAUUCAGAUAUUUAGUACAAAA
Long non-coding RNA from Daucus carota subsp. sativus, 943 nucleotides. RefSeq lists it as uncharacterized. The record is from RefSeq and is a predicted model, not a curated record. NCBI's taxonomy places the organism in Eukaryota, Viridiplantae, Streptophyta, Magnoliopsida, Apiales, Apiaceae. The transcript is spliced from 3 exons.